CCUACGGGUGGCAGCAGUGGGGAAUAUUGGACAAUGGGCGAAAGCCUGAUCCAGCCAUGCCGCGUGUGUGAAGAAGGCCUUCGGGUUGUAAAGCACUUUCAGUGGGGAAGAAAGCCUUGGGGCUAAUACCCUCGAGGAAGGACAUCACCCACAGAAGAAGCACCGGCUAACUCCGUACCAGCAGCCGCGGUAAUACGGAGGGUGCGAGCGUUAAUCGGAAUUACUGGGCGUAAAGCGCGCGUAGGCGGUCUGAUAAGCCGGUUGUGAAAGCCCCGGGCUCAACCUGGGAACGGCAUCCGGAACUGUCAGGCUAGAGUGCAGGAGAGGAAGGUAGAAUUCCCGGUGUAGCGGUGAAAUGCGUAGAGAUCGGGAGGAAUACCAGUGGCGAAGGCGGCCUUCUGGACUGACACUGACGCUGAGGUGCGAAAGCGUGGGUAGCAAACAGGAUUAGAUACCCGAGUAGUC
RNAcentral lists this ribosomal RNA (465 nucleotides) under Vreelandella stevensii. RNAcentral's name for it is "partial 16S ribosomal RNA". It matches the Rfam family "Bacterial small subunit ribosomal RNA", at positions 338 to 795 of the family's 1533-position model. Lineage: Bacteria; Pseudomonadati; Pseudomonadota; Gammaproteobacteria; Oceanospirillales; Halomonadaceae. The record is from RNAcentral.